UCAAACUGUUUAAAAGUAUGGUUCUGCUAUCACUCUUGGGAUGGGACCUGCGGUGCAUUAGCUAGUUGGGUAGGGUAACGGGCCGUACCAAGGCGAUGAUGCAUAGCCCGAGUUGAGAGACUGAUCGGGCCACAUUGGGGACUGAGACACGGGCCCAAACUCCUACGGGAGGCAGCAGUAGGGAAUCUUCCGCAAUGGACGCAAGUCUGAUGGAGCAAACGCCGCGUGAGUGAAGAAGGGUUUCGGCUCGUAAAAAGCUCUGUUGUUGGUGAAGAAGGACAGGGGUAGUAACUGACCCUUUGUUUGACGGUAAUCAAUUAGAAAGUCACGGGCUAACUACGUGCCAGCAGCCGCGGUAAAU
This 361-nucleotide ribosomal RNA is filed under the name uncultured Lactobacillales bacterium. RNAcentral's name for it is "bacterial SSU rRNA". It matches the Rfam family "Bacterial small subunit ribosomal RNA", at positions 191 to 525 of the family's 1533-position model. The record is from RNAcentral. Lineage: Bacteria; Bacillati; Bacillota; Bacilli; Lactobacillales.